Molecule: ribosomal RNA, 246 nt
Filed under: uncultured bacterium
Lineage: Bacteria
Description: partial 16S ribosomal RNA
Rfam family: Bacterial small subunit ribosomal RNA
Source: RNAcentral
GAUCAUGGCUCAGGAUGAACGCUGGCGGCGUGCUUAACACAUGCAAGUCGAACGGGAAAUACUUUAUUGAAACUUCGGUCGAUUUAAUCUAUUUCUAGUGGCGGACGGGUGAGUAACGCGUGGGUAACCUGCCUUAUACUGGGGGAUAACAGCCAGAAAUGGCUGCUAAUACCGCAUAAGCGCACGGGGCCGCAUGGUCCUGCGUGAAAAACUCCGGUGGUAUAAGAUGGACCCGCGUUGGAUUAG